ACGGAGGAUGCGAGCGUUAUCCGGAUUUAUUGGGUUUAAAGGGUGCGUAGGUGGACUGUUUAGUCAGUGGUGAAAUGCUGAUGCUCAACGUUAGCAUUGCCGUUGAAACUGACAGUCUUGAGAGUGAUUGAGGCAGGCGGAAUGUGUGGUGUAGGGGAAAAAUGAAUAAAUCUCACGAAGAACCACAAUGGCGAAGGCAUCUUCCAAAGCCACAACUGACACUGAAGCACGAAAGCGUGGGGAUCAAACAG
This 251-nucleotide ribosomal RNA is filed under the name uncultured prokaryote. Its description in RNAcentral is "partial 16S rRNA". It matches the Rfam family "Bacterial small subunit ribosomal RNA", at positions 525 to 775 of the family's 1533-position model. The record is from RNAcentral.